GCAGGCUGCAACUCGCCUGCACGAAGUCGGAAUUGCUAGUAAUCGGUAGGUCAGCAUACUACGGUGAAUACGUUCCCGGGCCUUGUACACACCGCCCGUCAAACCAUGAGAGUUGGCAACACCCGAAGUCGGUAGUCUAACCGCAAGGAGGACGCCGCCGAAGGGUGGGGGUUGAUGAUUAGGGUUAAGUCGUAACAAGGUAUC
Molecule: ribosomal RNA, 204 nt
Filed under: uncultured bacterium
Lineage: Bacteria
Description: partial 16S ribosomal RNA
Rfam family: Bacterial small subunit ribosomal RNA
Source: RNAcentral